GAUGAACGCUAGCGGCAGGCCUAAUACAUGUAAGUCGAGGGGCAGCACGGUAGCAAUACUGGUGGCGACCGGCGCACGGGUGCGUAACACGUAUGCAACCUGCCUUCAACUGGGAGAUAGCCCGGGGAAACUCGGAUUAAUACCCCAUAACACAGUGAAACAGCAUUGUUUAUUGUUAAAGCUCCGGCGGUUGAAGAUGGGCAUGCGUUCGAUUAGCUAGUUGGUGUAGGUAAUGGCUCACCAAGGCUACGAUCGAUAGGGGGUCUGAGAGGAUGAUCCCCCCACACUGGUACUGAGAUACGGACCAGACUCCUACGGGAGGCAGCAGUAGGGAAUAUUGGUCAAUGGACGCAAGUCUGAACCAGCCAUGCCGCGUGCAGGAAGACGGCCCCUCUGGGUUGUAAACUGCUUUUGAUAGGGAACAAAUGCCACUUGCGAGUGGAGCUGAGUGUACCUAUAGAAUAAGCACCGGCUAACUCCGU
RNAcentral lists this ribosomal RNA (482 nucleotides) under uncultured bacterium. RNAcentral describes it as "bacterial SSU rRNA". It matches the Rfam family "Bacterial small subunit ribosomal RNA", at positions 28 to 506 of the family's 1533-position model. The record is from RNAcentral.